Molecule: non-coding RNA, 30 nt
Filed under: Cricetulus griseus (Chinese hamster)
Lineage: Eukaryota; Metazoa; Chordata; Mammalia; Rodentia; Cricetidae
Source: RNAcentral
UGAUGAUGAUGACGAUGACCAAGGAGAAGA